RNAcentral lists this ribosomal RNA (498 nucleotides) under uncultured bacterium. RNAcentral's name for it is "partial 16S ribosomal RNA". It matches the Rfam family "Bacterial small subunit ribosomal RNA", at positions 28 to 507 of the family's 1533-position model. The record is from RNAcentral.
GACGAACGCUGGCGGCGUGCCUAAUACAUGCAAGUCGAACGAGAGCGACCGGUGCUUGCACUGGUCAAUCUAGUGGCGAACGGGUGAGUAACACGUGGGUAACCUGCCCAUCAGAGGGGGAUAACAUCCGGAAACGGAUGCUAAAACCGCAUAGGUCUUCGAGCCGCAUGGCUUGAAGAGGAAAAGAGGCGCAAGCUUCUGCUGAUGGAUGGACCCGCGGUGCAUUAGCUAGUUGGUGAGGUAACGGCUCACCAAGGCCGUGAUGCAUAGCCGACCUGAGAGGGUGAUCGGCCACAUGGGGACUGAGACACGGCCCAAACGCCUACGGGAGGCAGCAGUAGGGAAUCUUCCGCAAUGGACGCAAGUCUGACGGAGCAACGCCGCGUGAGUGAAGAAGGUUUUCGGAUCGUAAAACUCUGUUGUUAGAGAAGAACAAGUGCUAGAGUAACUGUUAGCGCCUUGACGGUAUCUAACCAGAAAGCCACGGCUAACUACGUG